UACAUGUGGGGCAAGCGUUGUUCGGAAUUACUGGGCGUAAAGCGUGCGUAGGCGGUUUGUUAAGUCUGUCGUGAAAGCCCCGGGCUCAACCUGGGAAUGGCGAUGGAUACUGGCGAGCUAGAGUACGGUAGAGGAGAGUGGAAUUCCCGGUGUAGCAGUGAAAUGCGUAGAGAUCGGGAGGAACAUCAGUUGCGAAGGCGGCUCUCUGGACCAGUACUGACGCUGAGGCACGAAAGCGUGGGGAGCAAACAGG
This 253-nucleotide ribosomal RNA is filed under the name uncultured bacterium. RNAcentral describes it as "partial 16S ribosomal RNA". It matches the Rfam family "Bacterial small subunit ribosomal RNA", at positions 524 to 776 of the family's 1533-position model. The record is from RNAcentral.